GCAUUGGUGGUUCAGUGGUAGAAUUCUUGCCUUCCAUGCUGGAGACCUGGGUGUGAUUUCUGACCGAUGCA
Molecule: transfer RNA, 71 nt
Filed under: Loxodonta africana (African savanna elephant)
Lineage: Eukaryota; Metazoa; Chordata; Mammalia; Proboscidea; Elephantidae
Rfam family: tRNA
About the family: Transfer RNA (tRNA) molecules are approximately 80 nucleotides in length. Their secondary structure includes four short double-helical elements and three loops (D, anti-codon, and T loops). Further hydrogen bonds mediate the characteristic L-shaped molecular structure. tRNAs have two regions of fundamental functional importance: the anti-codon, which is responsible for specific mRNA codon recognition, and the 3' end, to which the tRNAs corresponding amino acid is attached (by aminoacyl-tRNA synthetases). tRNAs cope with the degeneracy of the genetic code in two manners: having more than one tRNA (with a specific anti-codon) for a particular amino acid; and 'wobble' base-pairing, i.e. permitting non-standard base-pairing at the 3rd anti-codon position.
Source: Rfam by way of RNAcentral